This 468-nucleotide ribosomal RNA is filed under the name uncultured bacterium. RNAcentral describes it as "partial 16S ribosomal RNA". It matches the Rfam family "Bacterial small subunit ribosomal RNA", at positions 28 to 507 of the family's 1533-position model. The record is from RNAcentral.
GACGAACGCUGGCGGCGUGCUUAAUACAUGCAAGUCGAACGGAAAGGCCCUGCUUUUGCGGGGUGCUCGAGUGGCGAACGGGUGAGUAACACGUGAGUAACCUGCCCUUGACUUUGGGAUAACUUCAGGAAACUGGGGCUAAUAUCGGAUAGGAGCUCCUGCUGCACGGUGGGGGUUGGAAAGUUUCGGCGGUUGGGGAUGGACUCGCGGCUUAUCAGCUUGUUGGUGGGGUAGUGGCUUACCAAGGGUUUGACGGGUAGCCGGCCUGAGAGGGUGACCGGCCACAUUGGGACUGAGGUACGGCCCAGACUCCUACGGGAGGCAGCAGUGGGGAGUAUUGCACAAUGGGCGGAAGCCUGAUGCAGCAGCGCCGCGUGCGGGAUGACGGCCUUCGGGUUGUAAACCGCUUUCGACUGUGACGAGGCGUGAGUGACGGUAAUGGGUAAAGAAGCACCGGCUAACUACGUG